UACGGAGGGUGCAAGCGUUAUCCGGAUUCACUGGGUUUAAAGGGUGCGUAGGUGGACAGGUAAGUCAGUGGUGAAAUCCCCGAGCUUAACUCGGGAACUGCCGUUGAUACUAUCUGUCUCGAAUAUCGCGGAGGUAAGCGGAAUAUGUCAUGUAGCGGUGAAAUGCUUAGAUAUGACAUAGAACACCGAUUGCGAAGGCAGCUUACUACACGAUCAUUGACACUGAGGCACGAAAGCGUGGGGAGCAAACAGG
Molecule: ribosomal RNA, 253 nt
Filed under: uncultured bacterium
Lineage: Bacteria
Description: partial 16S ribosomal RNA
Rfam family: Bacterial small subunit ribosomal RNA
Source: RNAcentral